UGGGGAAUAUUGGACAAUGGAGGAAACUCUGAUCCAGCAAUUCUGUGUGUGUGAAGAAGGUUUUAGGACUGUAAAACACUUUUAGUAGGGAAGAAAAAAAUGACGGUACCUACAGAAGAAGCAACGGCUAAAUACGUGCCAGCAGCCGCGGUAAUACGUAUGUUGCGAGCGUUAUCCGGAAUUAUUGGGCUUAAAGGGCAUCUAGGCGGUAAGACAAGUUGAAGGUGAAAACCUGUGGCUCAACCAUAGGCUUGCCUACAAAACUGUUGAACUAGAGUACUGGAAAGGUGGGUGGAACUACACGAGUAGAGGUGAAAUUCGUAAGUAUGUGUAGGAAUGCCGAUGAUGAAGAUAACUCACUGGACAGAAACUGACGCUGAAGUGCGAAAGCUAGGGGAGCAAACAGG
RNAcentral lists this ribosomal RNA (407 nucleotides) under Verrucomicrobiota bacterium. Its description in RNAcentral is "Verrucomicrobia bacterium partial 16S ribosomal RNA". It matches the Rfam family "Bacterial small subunit ribosomal RNA", at positions 355 to 776 of the family's 1533-position model. The record is from RNAcentral. Lineage: Bacteria; Pseudomonadati; Verrucomicrobiota.